CCUCAUUAUACUCCACUGGCUUGGAAGGAUUUUAUAAAAUCAAGCCUAUCCCUCUUCCUUUGACAUAUGAUUUUGGUAAAUGAUCAUCAUAGCAGACAGUUGCUGCAAGAUGGUACCCCCAACUCCCAAAACAUUCGUCUGGGAGGAAGAAGUUCCCUUCCCCAUUUCUAUCCCCCGAAAGCUGUUCGUCUGAGCCCUCUAGGGCAGGCAGCCAUCGCCCAGUGCAGCAGAGCAGGGUGAGAAGUCCUUUUUAGGCAAGAUAUUAAAAGGAGUUGGCUGAGCAGAUCUAAAACCCUUGGUCAACAGGGCGGGGCCAGCCCCGGGGCAGAAGUAUUACUUCACAGUUGCAUCGGCUUCCUGUGGCUGCCAAUAGAGGCGGCAUCUGGCAGCCAGCCCACCGCAGAGAAGAGGGAACUCCGCAGAGAAGAAACUAGCAACGAGGCCCCAAAGGUGGAAGUGCAGCCUGAGAAACUUGAGCCGGCCUGGGACUGUGCCGGCCUUGCCACUCACUCUGCAGGGUGUGGCGUGCAGGACCCCUCCGGCUUCACAAGACUGAUAUGCCUCCUGUGACAGAGAAACGGAAGCCCAAAGAGGUGAAAUAACUUGCCCCAGGACGCACAAGCAGGAAACAGAGGAGCCAGGAUUCAAACCCCCUGUGUGGCCAUCCCUGGAGCCCAGACUCUGACCGCAGCCACUUCAGCUUUCAAGUGAAAAUCAAGAUGAUGAGCUACCAAGACAUGAGGACACUGGAGCGGCCCCAUGGAAAGGUCCAUGUGGUGAGGAACUGAAGCCUUCCACCAUCAGCCAUGUAAGGGAACCAACCUGGAAGGGGAUCCUCCAGUUUCAGUAAAGCCUUUAGAUGACUGCAACCGCAGAAACAUUUUGACUGCAACUUCAUAAGAGAUCCCAAGCCACAGCCACCUAGUCAAGCUGCUCCCAAAUUCCUGAUCACAGAAUCUGUAAGAUAAUAAAUACCUAUUGUUGCUUUAAGCCAGGAAGUUUUGGGGUAAUUUGUUACCUAGCAAUAGAAAAAGUGGUAGACAAGACAAACAUGGUCCCUUCCCUCAUUCUGGGAGCUGGUGAUAACCUAUUAUUGCACAAAUGUAGAAGCAACGUGAGUCAAAUCAUGCCAGCAAACCUGUACGAAUGUUAUAAUGUUCCAUCAACAUGGAAUGUGAAAAGGAGAUUUGUUUUAUUGUUAUAUUAGUGUGACCAGGAUAUCAAUUUGGAGACUGCUUUGUCACCCAAAGGGACAGCGUGUCUUCAUGACAUGAUCAUUGUAGAGAUGGUGGCAAAUGAUGGUGGGCUCUGGGGCUGUUAGAUCUAGUGGAUUCAGGUCAGAGAAAGUGCAAUGGCAAACCAACCCCCAUGCAAACCAUAGUAAAUGGAGAGAAGAGGCCAAGAGCCUCACCGAGAAAACUCGUCUACAUCACCCCAGCCUCCUACUAGGUCUUCCUGCCUCUAGUAUCGAUACUCUCCAGUGCAUCUCACAUGGGAAACCAGAAGAUUCUUCUUCAAUCGCUGCUUCAUUACGUAGCCUUCUCCUCUACACGCACACAAAUCUUAGCUAGGUUCCCACUCCUACAGGUAAAGUAUCUCAGCCUGGCAUUUACGGCUCUCCUCAGUCUGGCUCCAGCUCACAUUUUCAUGAUUCCCCUAUUUAUACCCCAUCUUUAGAUAAACUGAAAAUCCUGAAGUUCUCCCAAUGCGUCUUCAUUUUCAGGCUUCAAACCUUUUGUCAAGUCAUUCUCUCAACCUGGAAGCCCAUUCCACCCCUCAUCCACCUCACUGUAUGCUAGCUAUCCAACAAAGAUGUUCUUAAAUGCUUCUCCAUGAAAUAGUCUCUGAUCCCUUUAGCUCAUAGAGUAUUUCCCUCUUCUGGACGCAUCAUUAAUGGAAUUGGUAGGAUAUAAGUCCUUUUCUGUCUACACUAUAAUCACACACAUAUAUAUUACACACAUAUAUGUGUAGCUCAUCACCUCUACCAAGCUUCUUAUAAGCUUCAUCUUUGUAUCAACUUGGUCCUAAGCUUCCUCUUUUCACCCUCUCCUCUCUCCUUAAAUGAUCCAUGACAUAUAACUUCAUCCAUCAUCUAUAUACUAGAUGUCUCCAGCCCUGACCUCUUGUCUGUGUUACAGACCUCUACUUCUACCUGCUACGUAACAUACUCAUGGCUGUCUCAAGGCUCUUCACAGUCAUCAUGAUCAGUGGAAACUCAUAGUGCCCCCACCCAACUCAGGACUCCUCCAUGGUUCCUUUCUCAGUAAAUGCCAUCCAACACCCAACCAGCCAUCCAAUUCUGCAAGCCAGAAUCUAGGGGUCCUCUUUGAACUCUCCCAACUGUCAGCCUCUGUGUCUAAUCCAUCACUAGGUCUUAUUGAUCUUACCUUCUAAAUAGUAUUCAAAUCCCAAACUUUCCUCCAUCUCCACUGACACCCCCUGAAUCCAAGCUAUCAUCAGUCCUCACCUUGUCCACCAUCUUCUAUCUAGUAUCCUAACCAGCCUCCCCACAUCAACUCUAGCCUCACAACUCCAAUCCAUUCUAGGUCAUAUGAAUAGAAUGGCAUUUGAGUUUUAAAACUCAAAUCUGUCCAGGUCAUUGCUAAAGGUUUAAAGCCUUCAAUGACUUUCCAUUGUUCUUAAGACAAACAUCCAAAUCCUUAAUAUAAACUAACCACUGGACCCUCCAUCAUCUGGCCCAUUUACCUCUCCAGCCUAAUUUUGUGUUCAAUAUUUCAGUCACAGGGGACUACUUUCAGUUCCUCAAAAGUGCUCCGCUGUCUACAGCCUUUACAUGUGCUGUUUCUUCUCAUUCCAUCUACCACUUUUGCCUAAUAAAACUCCUGUUCAUCCUUCUUUUUUAUUAUUAUUUUUUUUUUAUUUUAGAAAGAGAAAAAGAGCAUACAAGUGGGGGAGAGGGGCAGAGAAAAAGAGAGAGAGAAUCUUUAAGCAGGCUCCACAAUCAGCUCAGUGCAGAGCUGGACUAGGGCUCAGCCACACAACCAUGAGAUCAAGACCUGAGAUGAAAUCGAGUCGGACGUUCAACCACCUCAGCCACCCAGGUGCCCCUCCUGUUCAUCCUUCUAAUCUUAGCUCAGACCUCAGCUCCUCAGAGAAACCACCCCAGCCAGAUCUGGUCCCUCAUUUACAUGUUCUCAUUGUUCCCUGUAUUUCCUUUAUUGUAUUUAUAUUGCUUAUAAUUACAUAUUUUUUUUUAUUAUUUGAGGGCAGAAAUCAUACUCGUUUUAUUCUUUUACAUUUUAUCUCCAGUACAUAAAGAGUAUAAGAGCUACUCAACCAAAUUUGCUUUAAAAACAUUAAAGGAAGAAAUGAAGGAAGGAAGUAAAAAAUUCAAGUAAUCACUGACAAAAUCUAGACAGACCAAAGUUCAUCAAAAUAUAUCUAUGGACAUAUGUAUUUCAUUGCCAAUAUCUUGAAUAUACAUUAAGUUUUCUUGAAACCUAAAUUUUCAUAUUUUUCUCUAUUUUAUAUUUGUAUCAAUUAGCAUUUUACAUGGCUGAAAAUAACUGACCGCAGUUAAACAAACAGAGUUUUCAUUUUUCUCUCCUAAUAGAAGGUUUGAAGUAGGGCUAAAACAACCGGUAAAAGUCGUCAGCAAGGGCGCCUGAGUAGCUCAGUCGGUUAAGCAUCCAACUUUGGCUAGGUCAUGAUCUCACGGUUGGUGGGUUUGAGCCCGACAGCUCAGAGACUGGAACCACCUUUGGAUUCUGUGUCUCCCUGUCUCUCUGCCCAUCUCCCGCUUGCUCUCUCUUUCUCUCUCUCUCUCUCUCUCUCUCUCUCUCUCAAAAAUAAAAAUAAAAAGAAGUCAGCAAAAUCACAGGCUCUUCUAACUUCUUUCUCUGCCACUCUUAGAGCCCAACUUUCUUCCUCAGCAUUAAAAGCUAGGCUGUUGCCCCUCCAAUAUGCUAUUCAUACUCCAGGCAGAAAAAGGGGAAAGAUAAAGGGCAAAAUGUGUGUGUCAACUGGACUCAUCUCUCUUUAUCAAGAAAACAAAAAAUGGCUUUCCUGGAAGCCCCACACAGGAAACUUUUACCUAUAUCUCAACCCCAGACUGGGGUUGUGGCCACUCUACCUACAAAUGAGUUGGGGAAGGUAUAUGUUCUUAAACAGACAUACUGUCUGACACACAACUGUAAGUAUAAUAAUGAGGAAUAAGGGGAUACUGGAGACAGGAAGUCCACCCAAGAGUGUCUGUCACACUACUGCCACAAACAAUCAGACUAACUGGAUUCCAAGGCUUGGACUCAAUCUCAGAAGCCUAGACGAAAGUGAUCUUUUUCAAGUUGAAAUUUUGAGAAAAGAAAUUCAGGCUCUGCAUAUAUGCUGCUAAGCUUGUAUGGAUGAAAAAUGAAAAAUUCUAUCAAAUACGUAGUUGUUUUAUCUAUGUAAUACUAAAUCUAUCUGCUUAACCGAACACCUGGAAUAAUCUUUCCUCCUUAAAAUGCUAUUCUUACCACUGUAUAUUCUUUUUUUGAGAGAGACACAGCAUGCACAAGUGGGAGAGGGAGAAAGAGAAUUGCCCUUGUAUGUUCUUAAUUAAAAAAUUAACUUUGAAGAAGUUAAGUCACUAUCAAAACUUAAGCCUGCAAUUAAAGCCUGCUGCCAUUAUGCAGUUUCAUUCACACCUUUCAUGCGGAUAUUUAGGUUCUGAGGGAGCAAAUGAGACUCUCCACACAUCCAUUAAAUGAAAAAUGUAGAAUAAGCAUGUAGCCAAUUCAGCUGUAGUUAAAACCUAAGAAAUCAGAAGGCUAAGUAAGAAGAAUGAAGAAUGCAAGGGAUUUAUAGGGGCACCUGGGCGGCUCAGUUGGCGAAGCAUCCAACUCUUGAUCUCGGCUCAGGUCAUGGUCUCAUGGUUCAUGAGACUGAGCUCUGCAUCAGGCUCUGCGCUGAUAGUGUGGAGCCUGCUUGGGAUUCUCUCUCUCCCUCUCUCUUUGCCCCUCCCCCACUUGCAUGUGCACAGUCUCUCUCAAAAUAAAUAAAUAAAUUUUAAAAAGAAAGAAUGCAAGGGAUUGAUAGAGUUAUUGAGCCCAUUCUAGACAGAGUUUAGAAUGAGAAAAGCAGAGUGAUCUGUGGGGAGAGGUUUCCUCAACAGGGAAAUGAUGUUUGGUAACUCAGACGCAAGGACAGAUGAAGUAUGGAACAUAAGCAACAAGAAUAUAACAAACAGGAUAUGCUUACUAUGUGAAGGAAUCUCUUUUUCAGUUAGUAUCACUGCCUUUAAUUAGUUCAAUUCAACAAACAUUUAUUGACCAUCACCUAUGUGCCAGAAAUUCUGGGAAAGGCUGGUAUUCUUCCUUGCCCUGUUGGGCAAGAAAAAAAAUAUUAUUGCUAGAUGGAAUUUUGGAGGGCAGAUAUUUCUAAUUUCCCACUUUAAAGAUAAGAAUAUUGGGACACCUGGGUGGCUCAGUCAGUCGAGUGUCAGACUCAACUGUGGCUCAGGUCACGAUCUCACUGGUUAGGAGAUCAAGCCCUGAGUCGGGCCCGAAGUGACAGCAUGGAGCCUGCUUGGGAUUCUUUCUCCCUCUCUCUCCAUCCCGUCCUUACUUGCAUGUGUACAUGCACAUGCUCUCUCUCUCAAAAUAAAUAGAUAAAUAAGGUUUUUUUUUAAUAAUCAAAAAUAAAUUAAAUCAAAUUAAAUUAAAUUAAAUAACCAAAUGGGGGCUCCUGGAUGGUUCAGUCAGUUGAGUGUCCAACUUUGGCUCAGGUCAUGAUCUCAUGGUUCAUGAGUUCAAGCCCCAUAUGGGGCUCGCUGCUGUCAGCACAUAGCCUGCUUUGGAUCCUCUGUCCCCCUCCCUCUCUGCCCUUCCCCUGCUCAUGCUCUCUCUCAAAAAUAAAUAAACAUUAAAAAUAAAAUAAAAUAAAAUAAAAUAAAAUAAAAUAAAACAAAACAAAACAAAACAAAACAAAUAUAAGAAUACUAAAGUCCAGGGGCAGCUGGGUGCCUCACCCUACUUCAGCUCAUACUGUCGAAGAUCGUUGGUUCAAGCCAUGCAUCAGGCUCUGUGCUUUCUGCGCAGAGCCCACUUCAGAUCCUCUGUCUCCCUCUCUCUCUGCAACUCCCUCAACUAGCUCUCUCUCUCUCUCAAAAAUAAAUAAACAUUUAAAAAAAGAAUAUGAGGGUCCAGAAAAAUUAAAUGACUCCCCAUCAUCACCAUUUAGUCAACAGAAAGCCACGGCUAAAUCUAGGGUCUUCAGAGUCUCACCCAAACAAAAUCCUUAAGACCUAGAGAAAGGCAAUCUUCAUGUCAGGGCAACUUCUCACUUUCAGAGACAAUGGGGUUUUGUUGUUGCUACUGUUUUGUUUCUUUCUUACAAAUAAUUUACCACUUUCAAAGGCAUGCCAUUCAAAACUUCUCCCUCAUUCUCAAAGUUGCCAGGCUAUUUUUCUUCAUCGUCAUCAAGCAUAUUCAGCAAGCUUGGGUGAACCUACCCAAUGCUGACCACACUUCUCUCCCCCCUUCCUUCUCUCCCACACCACUUCCUCUGUCUUCCCUCCCUACCCUUCAGCACCUCCAUGCACACCCGUUAGGUUGAUCUACACUUGUUAAUUAGUGGUUUCAAGAUGCUCUGAUGUUAUAUCAGAGGCUAUGUCUCCCAACUACUUUUGAGAGCUCCAGAAAAACAAACUCAAGGUUUGGAAUGAGAAGAACCUGGAUUACAACUGGAGCUCUGCCAUUUACUGUGUAGCCUUUGGUAAACUGUCUAACAUCAUUAAGCCUCAGGCUCUUUGUGUGUUUAAUGAGGAAAACCAUACCUAAUUCAUAAGGAUGAUGCAAGUAUUUCAUGAGAUAAUGCCCCACAAGCACUGAAUGGUAUGAAGAUACACACUGGUAUAAAAUCAGGGCUCAAUACAUGUUAUCACUUUUUUAUUUGUUCCCACCCUCCCCUCUCUCCAAGGAAUGCCUAACCUGUGUCAUUGGUCAGACUUAGGUUCAAAUCUUAGCUCUCUCACUGACCAGCUAUACAACAGUGAGUGAUUCUCAUGACCUCUCUGAGCCUCCUAGAACAAAGUCUGGCUUGGUGGGCCAUAUCCAAUAUUUUCUGACUGAAUAAGCUACAGAUUCCUUAUAAAUAACACAGAGAUAAUAAGCCUCACCUCACAUGAUUGUUGGAUGAGCUAAAUGAGAUCAUGUAAAGCAAAGUAUCUGCCAUGUUCCCUUCUUCAGCUUAAUUGAUGAACUGAUUACCUUGGAAGGGGAUGGAUUCACUGGAUGCUAGAUCAAGAGUCUUUAAUUCACGUGAUCUAUUAUUAUUUACCUAUAUUUCUUUAUUUGUUUCCCUCAAUAGUUCUUGGGGGAGGGUAUGGUAAGGACACAUAAUACCUCUCUUCAUCUGAAUUGUUGGUCAACUGAGAAAUAAGACAAAGGACAAUCAGAUAAGGUUCAAAGUAUCCCCUCUAUGAAGCCGAUAUGGAAACUGGAUUUAUGUGAAGCAAGAGGCCCCCUUGCACCGAACCUGUUAGGCUGCCUUACCUACUCAGGAGCACUGGACCACCAUGGGCCUCCCCACCCUCACCCCAGAGUGGAGACCUGCUCCUGGAGGAGUAGAUCAAAGUAUAUAGUCUCUACAGGCAGAUUGCAACCCAAAGAAAGAAUGAGAGAAAGAAGAUAUGCCCUCGCAGGCUCCUUUCCUCUCCCAUUCAAGUAACUCACUCCAUCUCCCCAGGGGAGGAGUGAAAGUGGGGCAGAGGCCAAGAGUAUUUGGGGAAAACCUCUUGUCCUGGAAAUAAAAAGUCAGCAAGAAGCAUUCCAGGCAUCUGCCACCUAACAAACUCUAUAUGCAAAAUGGGUUGCAUAGGCCUCCUCAGUCCCUCUGCCCUACCGCAAGAAUUCGAGGGUACCUGGAAUAGAGGUGAAGAGCCCAGCCUGGAGGCAGGCUGCCUAGUUUUGAAUCCAGGCUCUGUCACUUACUAGUUCUGUUUCCUCUAGCAAGUUAUGUACUCUUCCUGGGCCUCCAUCUGGUCAUCUAUAAAGUGCAGGAAUUGACAGGAUGGCUGUGAGGAUUAGAUGAAAGGUCUAUGAAGCGCCCCAAACACGAAGGGAUAAGAGCAGAACAAGUGAAGUUAUUAUUACUGGUGAGUUUCUUAUAACAACUGUAGGCUCCUUAGAGUAAAAGGUGAAAUAAAAUACGAUGCCGCUCAAGAACUGCAAGCCAACUAUCGAAUAGAUCUCCCACAAACCCAAAGCAAAAAAUAAUUACAGUCAACUCCCAAUCAUACUUGUGAUCUUACGACCAUGAAAACCAUCUCCCAGUGACAUUGCCUCCUGCCCCAACUUCCCUCUUCAUUCUGUUAAACCAAAGUCUCUUUGAUCCCUUCCAAAUUGAAUUACACACAACUUUCUUGUCUUAGUCCUUUUAAAUUACAGUCCUCCCUUAUGGACAUCUGUGAGGAGACUGUCAAAGAGAAAAAUCCUAUGAGAUUUUGUAUAUUCUUAGGUCAGAGUUCUGGCUGAGGUUGGCAGAGAUAAAAGGUGUUGGUUUGGGGUUUGUGACGUAAGUGUGAGUCGUAGUUGCACUAAAAAAGAGUGGUCAGUUAGCUGCACUAGCCAAGAAGGAUUCCUGGGAAUCAGUCAUACACGAGGAGGGCAGUGGGUAUUCAAGGAAGGAAAGCUGAGAAAGAUUCUAAAUUGGAAGAGACUGGAAAUAUUUUACAGAAGUCUGAAAUUUGUGUGGUGGGUGCUCUGGUCAGGACAAAGACCACAAAGCUGACUGAAUAGAUCUCUUCUCCUAAAACAGAAAAGCAUACGAUGGUGGUUAUAUGUGUAGUUUUGGAGUCAAAUAGACCAGGGUUUAAGCCCCAUUUUUACCCACUUCUUUGUUACAUGACCUUGAGUAACUAACUCAAAUAUCAGUGUCCCUAUGUAUAAAACUGAGAUAAUAGCACCCACCUUAGGAGACUAUGAAGAGAAUUAAAUAAAAGCAACGUAUAUAAAAUUCUCAGUACAGGGCCCUGCACAUAUCUGUGUCCACUAAAGUUGUUAAUACUAUCAUACACAAUAGGAAAAAACAGGUAAGGGGCUAAUAUCCAAAAUAUAUAAAGAACUCCUACAACUCAGUAACAAAGAGAAAAUCAAUUUAAAAAUAGACAGGGGAACUAAAUAAGCUUUUUUCCCAAAGAAGACAUCCAAAUGCCCAAUAACUGCUUGAAAAAUGCUCACCAUCACUAAUAUUCAGGGAAAUGUAAAUCAAAACCAGCAUGAGAGAUCACGUCACGCCUGUCAGAAAGGUUAUCAUCAAGGAGACAAGAGAUAACAAGUGUUGGCGAGGAUGUGGAGAAAAGGAAGCCUUGCGCAUGGUUUGUGGGAACAUAACUUGGUAACAGCCACUGUGGAAAACAGGAUGGAGGUUCCUCAAAAAAUUAAAAAUAGAACUACUAUGUGAUCUAGCAAUUCCACUUCUGGGUGUAUAGCCAAAGGAAACAAAAAUGGUAUUGAAGAGUUACACGCAGUGCUAUUCACAAUAGCCAACGUAUGGAAAUAGCCCAAGUAUCUGCCAGAAGAUGAAUGGAUAAAGAAGAUGUGGUGCCUAUACACACUGGAAUAUUAUUCAGCCAUGAGAAAGAAGGAACUCCUGCCAUUUGUGACAAUAUGGCUGCACCUUGAGGACACUGUGAGGUAAGUCAGAAAUACUGUAUGGUAUCACAUGUCUGUGGAAUUUAAACGAGCCACGCUCAUGAAAACAGAGUAUAGAGUGGUUGUGACCAGGGCCUGAGGGAUGGGGAAAUAGUUAAGAUGUUGUUUAAGGGUACAAACCUGCAGCUAGUAAAUUAGUCCUGGAGAUCUAAUGUACAGUAUGGUGAUUAUAGAGAACAGUACUGUAUUAGAAGUAUCACACUUGCUAAGAGACUAGAUCUUUUUUAAAAGUUUAUUUUUUUGUUUAUUUAUUUAUUUUGAGAGAGAGAGAGAGAGAGUGCGUGUGUGUGUGUGUGUGUAUGCAAGUGAGCAAGGAAGGGGCAGAGAGAGAGACAGAAUCCCAAGCAGGCUUCCCAUUGUCAGCACGGAGCCCCACAUGGCCUGAUCCCGGGAACUGUGAGAUCAUGACCUGAGCUGAAAUCAAGAGUCAGGUUGAUUAACCAACUGAGUCACCCAGGUGCUCUCCUAAGAGACUGGAUCUUAAUUAUUCUCACCACAAAAAAAAUAAUAAUUAUAUGAUAUCAUAGAGGUUUUAGCUAACACUACAAUGGCAAAUAUAUUGCAAUAUAUAAAUAUAUCAGAUUAACAUGUAUAUCUUAAAUUUAUACAAUGUUACAUAUAUAUCAAUUAAAUCUCAAGUUUUUAAAUGGAAAACCUCUGGGUUAAUUCAUAGACAGUUUUGUAAUUAUUAUUUUCUUCAUCAUUAUGAUGAGAUUUUCCACUUAACUUUAGAAAUUAAAUAUAAGAGGGGAGUCUGGGUGGCUCAGUCAGUUAAGCAUCUGACUUCAGCUCAGGUCAUGAUCUCAUGGUUUGUGGGUUCAAGCCCCACAUCGGGCUCUGUGCUAACAGCCCAGAGCCUGGAGCCUGCUUCAGAUUCUGUGUCUCCCUCUCUCUCUGCCCCACCGCCACUUGCACUCUGUCUCUCUCUGUCUCAAAAAUGAAUAAACACUUAAAAAAUUAAAAAGAAAGAAAGAAAGGAAGGAAGAAAGAAAGAAGGGAAGAAAGAAAGUGUAAGAAAUGAACCAAGGGGCUCCUGGGUGGCUCAGUCAGUUGAGUCUUGAUUUCAGGCCAGGUCAUGAUGCCAGGGUAUGAGAUCGAGCCCUGCAUCCAUCUCCAUGCUGAACAUGAACCCUGCUUAAGAUUCUCUCUCUCUCCUUCUGCCCCUCUCCUUUGCUCAAGCGCUCUGUCUCUUGCUCUAAAAUUAAAAAUUAAAAGAAAAAGAAAUGAACCAAUAAUUGAAAUUAUUACCAAUUCUUUCCAUUAUUUCCAGUUACAUGCUGGCAGGAAGCUUCUUGUUUUCUUUUUUGCAAGUAAUCUCUACCUCUGACAUGGGGCUCAAACUCAGGACCCUGAGAUCCAGAAUCACAUGCUCUACUGACAGCCAGCCAGGCAUCCCUGGCAGGAAGUUUCUUAAAUCACAAUAUAUACCCUAUAAAUCUUAUGCUUUUAACCACUAUGCAUUUUUCCUAUAUUGAACCAAUACUUGCAUUCUUACUGCCAUCAAAACCUCAACGCCUUUGGGUGAUAAUCAUAUGUCAAUGGAGGUUCAUCAAUUCUAACAAAUGGACCACUCGGGUGGGGGAUGUUGAUACUGAGGGAAACCAUGUGUGUGUGGGGGCAGAAGGUAUACAUAUGGGAAGUCUCUGUACCUUCAGUUCAAUUUUGCUGUGAACCUAAAACUGCUCUAAGAAGUAAUGUCUAUUCAAAAACAAAAAAAAAAAGGGGCACCUGGGUAGCUCAGUCGGUUAAGUGAUGACUCUUGAUUUCAGCUCAGGUCAUGAUCUCACAGUUGGUGGGUUCGAGCCCUGAGCCAGUCCGGCUCUGUUCUGAUAGCAUAGAGCCUGCCUGGGAUUCUCUCCCUCUCUCUCUCUGCCCCUCCUUGGCUCACAAGCGUGUGCUUGCUCUCUCUCUCACUCUCUCUCUCUAAAUAAAUAUUUUUAAAAAAGAAAAACAAGAACAAAAACCUGAAGUUGUUUCAAAUUCCAUCAAGUGAGUCAAUGGGAGACAUGCCCAGGACAAAUCUCCUGAAAUCUCUUAAAACUUCAAUUUGGCACAACAGUUUUAACUCUCCCUUCCCAUUCUUUUCUCAACUCUACCAACAGGGCCACCUUGGGCUUAUGUGAUGCCUCUGUGGGUCUGCAGUGGGAAGGAUGGGAGAAGAAGAAGGCACCCUUCUUUAGGGAUGUAUAGCCUCAGGCCAGAGUCUCAUCUUGGCAAGUGGGGCCCGGGCUGGAUUCAGCUCCAACUGGCCUCCUCAACCAAGUGUCUUUGUGCAGGACACUAACUGCAUAACAGUACACAGCAGCCCUAUUUAGCCAUUGGAAUAAUUUUGAAUUCUGUAUCUUAUCCUUCCUCUGCCCAAUCAGAAAUGAAAGCAGUAUUUCUUCGGGUAGUCAUGAGCAGAGGAAAAGAAAAAAGUAAAUGAGGGUCCCGCAGAAAAGACUGAACAGUGCCAUUAACUCUUGAGAACCCUUAGCAUCAAGAUGCUUCAUCUUAACGUUGGAGGACAUGGACUUGACUCUGCUCCACAAAAGCAAAGGAAGGACAGUAUUUUUUUUUCUCACUAUUAUUUUCCCAGCCCUCAAAACAGUGCUUGGUAAAUAAAAAAGGAUUCAAUAAAUA
Molecule: long non-coding RNA, 12275 nt
Organism: Neofelis nebulosa (Clouded leopard)
Lineage: Eukaryota; Metazoa; Chordata; Mammalia; Carnivora; Felidae
Exons: 3
Source: RefSeq, a predicted model, not a curated record